Molecule: ribosomal RNA, 372 nt
Filed under: uncultured organism
Description: bacterial SSU rRNA
Rfam family: Bacterial small subunit ribosomal RNA
Source: RNAcentral
CGUAGGGUGCGAGCGUUAAUCGGGAAUUACUGGGCGUAAAGCGUGCGCAGGCGGUUUGUUAAGAUAGGCGUGAAAUCCCCGGGCUCAACCUGGGAACUGCGCUUAUGACUGGCAAGCUAGAGUGCGGCAGAGGGGGUGGAAUUCCACGUGUAGCAGUGAAAUGCGUAGAGAUGUGGAGGAACACCAAUGGCGAAGGCAGCCCCCUGGGUCGAUACUGACGCUCAUGCACGAAAGCGUGGGUAGCAAACAGGAUUAGAUACCCUGGUAGUCCACGCCCUAAACGAUGUCAACUAGGUGUUGGGAGGGUAAAACCUUUUAGUACCGGAGCUAACGCGUGAAGUUGACCGCCUGGGGAGUACGGCCGCAAGGUUA